CCUACGGGUGGCUGCAGUGGGGAAUAUUGCACAAUGGGCGCAAGCCUGAUGCAGCCAUGCCGCGUGUGUGAAGAAGGCCUUCGGGUUGUAAAGCACUUUCAGCGGGGAGGAAGGCGUUAAGGUUAAUAACCUUGUCGAUUGACGUUACCCGCAGAAGAAGCACCGGCUAACUCCGUGCCAGCAGCCGCGGUAAUACGGAGGGUGCAAGCGUUAAUCGGAAUUACUGGGCGUAAAGCGCACGCAGGCGGUCUGUCAAGUCGGAUGUGAAAUCCCCGGGCUCAACCUGGGAACUGCAUUCGAAACUGGUAGGCUAGAGUCUUGUAGAGGGGGGUAGAAUUCCAGGUGUAGCGGUGAUAUGCGUAGAGAUCUGGAGGAAUACCGGUGGCGAAGGCGGCCCCCUGGACAAAGACUGACGCUCAGGUGCGGAAGCGUGGGGAGCAAACAGGAUUAGAUACCCCAGUAGUC
This 465-nucleotide ribosomal RNA is filed under the name uncultured Klebsiella sp. Its description in RNAcentral is "bacterial SSU rRNA". It matches the Rfam family "Bacterial small subunit ribosomal RNA", at positions 338 to 795 of the family's 1533-position model. The record is from RNAcentral. Lineage: Bacteria; Pseudomonadati; Pseudomonadota; Gammaproteobacteria; Enterobacterales; Enterobacteriaceae.